Molecule: ribosomal RNA, 393 nt
Filed under: uncultured bacterium
Lineage: Bacteria
Description: partial 16S ribosomal RNA
Rfam family: Bacterial small subunit ribosomal RNA
Source: RNAcentral
AUACGGAGGAUGCAAGCGUUAUCCGGAUUUAUUGGGUUUAAAGGGUGCGUAGGCGGUUUGCUAAGCGGGAGGUGAAAUGCCGGCGCUCAACGUCGGAAGUGCCUCCCGAACUGGUGGACUUGAAUGACUCUGCCGUGGGAGGAAUGGGUAGUGUAGCGGUGAAAUGCUUAGAGAUUACACAGAACACCGAUCGCGAAGGCAUCUCACGAAGGGUUGAUUGACGCUGAGGCACGAAAGCGUGGGGAUCAAACAGGAUUAGAUACCCUGGUAGUCCACGCAGUAAACGAUGAUGGCUAACCGCUGGGCUUAUCAGUUCAGUGGCCAAGCGAAAGCGAUAAGCCAUCCACCUGGGGAGUACGACCGCAAGGUUGAAACUCAAAUGAAUUGACGGGG